UACAGAGGUCUCAAGCGUUGUUCGGAUUCAUUGGGCGUAAAGGGCUCGUAGGUGGCCAACUAAGUCAGACGUGAAAUCCCUCGGCUUAACCGGGGAACUGCGUCUGAUACUGGAUGGCUUGAGUUUGGGAGAGGGAUGCGGAAUUCCAGGUGUAGCGGUGAAAUGCGUAGAUAUCUGGAGGAACACCGGUGGCGAAGGCGGCAUCCUGGACCAAUACUGACACUGAGGAGCGAAAGCCAGGGGAGCAAACGGG
Molecule: ribosomal RNA, 253 nt
Filed under: uncultured bacterium
Lineage: Bacteria
Description: partial 16S ribosomal RNA
Rfam family: Bacterial small subunit ribosomal RNA
Source: RNAcentral